Molecule: ribosomal RNA, 536 nt
Filed under: uncultured Cyanobacterium sp.
Lineage: Bacteria; Bacillati; Cyanobacteriota; Cyanophyceae; Chroococcales; Geminocystaceae
Description: bacterial SSU rRNA
Rfam family: Bacterial small subunit ribosomal RNA
Source: RNAcentral
ACGGGAGGCAGCAGUGAGGAAUUUUCCGCAAUGGGCUAACGCCUGACGGAGCAAUGCCGCGUGGAGGAUGAAAGCCUAUGGGUUGUAAACUCCUUUUCUUAGAGAAGAAAUUUUGACGGUAUCUGAGGAAUAAGCAUCGGCUAACUCCGUGCCAGCAGCCGCGGUAAUACGGGGGAUGCAAGUGUUAUCCGGAAUGAUUGGGCGUAAAGCGUCUGUAGGUGGUUGACCAAGUCUGUUGUUAAAAAUCAGGGCUUAACCUGAUCCGGCAACAGAAACUAGUAAACUUGAGUACGGUAGGGGCAGAGGGAAUUCUCGGUGUAGUGGUGAAAUACGUAGAUAUCGAGAAGAACACCAAUAGCGAAAGCACUCUGCUGGGCCGAAACUGACACUGAGAGACGAAAGCUAGGGGAGCAAAAAGGAUUAGAUACCCCUGUAGUCCUAGCCGUAAACGAUGGAUACUAAGUGCUGUGCGACUCAAAACGUCCAGUGCUGUAGCUAACGCGUGAAGUAUCCCGCCUGGGGAGUAUGCUCGCAAG